This 237-nucleotide ribosomal RNA is filed under the name uncultured bacterium. Its description in RNAcentral is "partial 16S ribosomal RNA". It matches the Rfam family "Bacterial small subunit ribosomal RNA", at positions 15 to 231 of the family's 1533-position model. The record is from RNAcentral.
GAUCAUGGCUCAGGGUGAACGCUAGCUACAGGCUUAACACAUGCAAGUCGAGGGGCAGCAUGGUCUUAGCUUGCUAAGGCUGAUGGCGACCGGCGCACGGGUGAGUAACACGUAUCCAACCUGCCGUCUACUCUUGGCCAGCCUUCUGAAAGGAAGAUUAAUCCAGGAUGGGGAUCAUGACGUCCACAUCGUCCGCAUGUAAGUUUAAAGGUUACUUUUCCGGGUAGACGAGUGGGG